GGGGGAAGGUGAGGGAGAGAAAGAGAUGGAGAUCUUCCACCUACCAGUUGGCUCCCCAAAUGCCUGCAACAGGAAAGGCUGGGUGCAGCAUGCGGGUGGCAGGGGCCCAAGCGCUCCCACCAUCUCCUGCUGCCUUUCCAGGUGCGUUAGCAGGGAGCUGGAUCAGAAGCAGAGCAGCCAGGACACAAGUGACGCCCCCAUUUGGGAUUCUUGCUGGCAGUGGCUUAAUUGGCUGUGCCACAACACCUCUCUAGGUUCUCUGCUUUUACAGGGAGGAAGCUGCUACCUGGCAGGUGAGUGUGGCAGUGUCUGCCCAAGUAAAGCAGACCGAGACACGUCAGCAAGACACUUGCAUUGAUCUAUGCAUCCACGGAUUGUUUAACAAUAGCUGCUCACCGGUGAGUUUGAUUUCUUUUCUUCUUUUUGCAGAAAAUAUAACUCCGUUGCCCUCCCCUACCCCCAUAUUCCCUCUUUGGUAUCACCAACUUAACUUUUCCAGGCCAUCUUUCUAGUUUUUUUCUUUCGUUCUCCCGGGUUUAUGUUUAAGUCUGUACUUAGCUCCUCUGGAGAUUAGAACAUAGGUGUUAAUUACAGCUUUCCCAUUGCUGCUUUUCCAUUAGGUGCUAAAUAUCCCCAAGUGAUUGAGUGUCUGCACUUAAGCCGGCUCACCUGUGCCAGGCCCUGCGCUCGCCAGGAACUCCGUGCGAGUGACCGUGCCUGCCCCCGGAUCUUCCGAUCUCGCCCAUCCAGAACCGUUCCCAUGGGGGUGGAUGUUUUUCCAAACUGGCUGCUUCAAGAGACUUCUCGUUGGUCCCAAACCAAAGGACAAGUCAGGGAGGGAAACACGGGCCGGCUGGCAAAGCGCCCCUGGCGCAGGCGCUCUGCGGGAGGAGCAGGGCGCGGGGGAGGGGAGCGGGAAGAACGGAGAGCGUGGCCUGGCCUGGGACCACCUGCGCCCGGUCAGGAGCCUCCGUGUAAAGCAGAGAGGCUUGCAAAGCCAGCUUGUGGGAUUCAAGGACAAGAAGGGAGGGCAGUGUGGCCGCAGACGCUUCUGUGACGUCGGAGCAGAGAGAGGGCCGGAGCGUGGAGUGCUGGCCUCUGCCACCUGAGCCCACCAACUCCAGCCCCUCCCCACCGCCUGUCCUCUUGGACGUCGGAGUUGAACGUGGACCAUAUCUCAGGGAGGAAAAUAGGGCAAGUCCACUUGUGUGGGCCGUGG
Molecule: long non-coding RNA, 1219 nt
Filed under: Oryctolagus cuniculus (rabbit)
Lineage: Eukaryota; Metazoa; Chordata; Mammalia; Lagomorpha; Leporidae
Description: lncRNA (ENSOCUG00000039421.1)
Source: RNAcentral